UUCCUGGGCCCCCCUCACGCUCUGGGUCAGAGUUCCUUUACAGGCGGACCUGAGAGGCAACUCACCGACUCCUGCCCUGGACCCUCCUGCGCCACUGAACCCCCUGACCUGGGAGCCUCGGAACCUAGGGCUCAGGAGAGCGGCCGUGGGUCCCAUCAGGCUUUCCCCUCGGAUCCUCUGCAGAUGAACCAGGACUUACCCGAAAGUACCAAGUGAACUUCUAGGAAAAGUCCAAUUCUCAGAUGCUGGAUGUCUUCCAAAAAUGAAGCAAAUUAGUAACUUAGUAGCUGAGUCAACUAAUCCUGUUAGAUGGUCAACAUUGAUUUUUUUAUUUUAAUAUUUUUAAGUGGCAGCUCUAGUGUGUGAGAAAAUUAAUGUGGCCGCUGAAUUUGUAGAAAACCGCUUUGACUCUCUUGGGCCCCUUCAUAAAUAAGCCCUGGAACUAAAUAAAAGUCUAGUGAAU
Molecule: long non-coding RNA, 463 nt
Filed under: Pan troglodytes (chimpanzee)
Lineage: Eukaryota; Metazoa; Chordata; Mammalia; Primates; Hominidae
Description: lincRNA
Source: RNAcentral